AUGAAGGUGAUGGCGGCGGCGGCGGCGGAGGCUGCGGCGCCCGCACCCAAGAGGAGCACAUCCGAUGAAGCGGCCGGGCCCAGGUCACAGAAACGGGCACGUGAUAGCUUCUGCGACGGCAACGCCAUCAGCCACGGCGAUCUCAUCAGCGACCUUCCCGACGCCAUCCUCGGCACCAUCUUCUCCCUGCUCCCCACCAAGGACGGCGCCCGCACGCAGGCCAUCUCCCGGCGAUGGCGUCCCCUAUGGCGCUCCUCGCCUCUCAACCUCGACGUCCCGUACCACCCCGUCGGAGAUCGGUUCGAGCGUCUCUCCGCCGUCUCCAGGAUCCUGUCGGACCACCCUGGCCCCGCACGCCGCUUCGACGUCUUUCUCGUCCGCCUCCACAGAGAGAGAAAAAGGUACGACGAAGAUGCCGCUCAGAUCGACAGCUGGUUCCAUUCCCGAGCCCUUGACAACCUUCAGGAGCUCCACAUCAGCUUCGCGCUCUUGGAAUAUACGCGUGGACGGCCUGAGAAGGACAAGCGCUGCCUGCUGCCGCCGUCUGUGCUCCGCUCAGCAUCAACCCUCCUCUUGGUCAGCAUUGGCUCCUGCGAUUUCCCAAGGGAGAUGGCACCUUCUCUGAACUUCCCCCUCCUCAAGCAGCUCAAGCUAUGGAGCGUUUCCAUCUCCGAGGAUGUCUUCUCGAGGGUGCUCUCUAGCUGCCAUGUCUUGGAGAGCUUACAUUUGUCGAGGAUUCUCGAGGGGUCUUGCCUUUGCAUUAGUUCACCAACUCUUAGGAUCAUCGUCACCCUUCGUUUGUUCGAAGGCAAAGGAAAAUUGGUCAUUAAGGAGGCCCCUCAUCUUGAAAGGCUGCUAUUACGUUCUCCGGGCUUAGGUGUCGAGACUAUCCAGGUAGUUAGGGCACCUAAACUGGAGACAGUGGGCCUUUUGUCUCCCUGCACCUUACAAAUUCAGAUCAACAAUCUAGUCUUCCAGGGAUUAAUCCCAUCGAGCUUGGAAAACCCAAUACGCAGUGUAAAGGUUUUGGCUCUCCAGUUCUGUGGCCCUGAUUUGAACUCGGUCUACUAA
This 1071-nucleotide ribosomal RNA is filed under the name Triticum aestivum (bread wheat). RNAcentral's name for it is "partial small subunit ribosomal RNA". Lineage: Eukaryota; Viridiplantae; Streptophyta; Magnoliopsida; Poales; Poaceae. The record is from RNAcentral.